ACCUUUCCCUUCAUUCUUAGUUUCUAAGAAAUAUACUGUACAAUUUGUAGCUAUAAAUAUGUGGAAAAAAGAAAAUCCUUCGGAGCUAUUAGCUGCUUAUAAAACUUGAAGUGAGUUCCCACAUAGUGAUUAUUAACUAUUCUCCUUAAAGCAGUUAGUUGCCUCCUCUUGGAAUUAGCUGCAGCACAAAACAUGAAGAUGGGUACUACCUAGUAGUAGUUUGUAGUAGAGCAGGAUUUGAUUGAAAUGUUGGAAUUUGGGAAGGCAUGUUCACUUUCCAGAGUUUUACUUCUGGAAUUUACUCUUGCUCUACCUUGAGUUUGGAAUUUUCAUAGCUGCCACAGGAAGGAGUGAGGGAGAGAAUGGGCCUCCUGAAGUUAGGGAUGUGCUGAGCAGUGUUGGCUGUUCCACCUGGAAGUCAACAUUGAAACAGUGUAUCACUGAUUUUGAUAGACCACAGUAAGCCCUCAUACUUGUGCCUUCUGGAUUGUUGUGUGGAAGGAUGGUGGGCCCAGCAAAUAUUUUGUUCUUUGCAGAUAAUGAAUUGAAGAACUGGUUACUUCCUUGUGUCUGUGUACUGGCAGGACUUUUUUUUUUUUUUAGUGCAAACAAAUCAAUUAGUUUAUAUUCAUACUUGAUUAAGCAUCAACUUGCUUUCAUUUUGUUCUUCAGACGUUCCAACUGCAGCUUCUGUCUCCUAGCAGCAGUGUCAUCCCUGCAUUUAACUCGGGGACCAUUACACAGGUCAUUAAAGUCCUGAAUCCACAAAAGCAACAACUACGUAUGCGGAUCAAGUUGACGUAUAAUCACAAGGGCUCAGCAAUGCAGGAUCUAGCAGAAGUCAACAACUUCCCCCCUCAGUCUUGGCAGUGAGCUCUGGCACCAUUCUUAUUCUCACCCCACCCAAUCAAAAGAACUCUGGGAAGAAGGUUGUGAUCCUUGGCAAUCCCCUAAACUGCACCAUGGGCAUGGGGAACAGAUGAGACCUGCUGAUGAGGAGGAAUUUUCCUGAAGUGAUUGCUGACUUUGAAGCAUAUCUGUUGAGACUAAUCUCCUCUCCUCCGCUGAUGAGGCUGGUGGCUUGUGGAGGCUACUCUGCACUCCCUCACACAUGCAUUCACAGCCAGAAGCAACAUUCCCUCCCUUCCCUGCCUCUCUACCCCCAAAGAAAAACAGCCUGGUUGGAAGAGAAGUCUGGAAUUUCUUGCAGGGAGACUUUCUAUCUCUGCAGCAAGUGAACAACUGCUCCUUCUUUCUGCUGUCUUUUUUUUUUUUUCCCCUUGGGAUGGUCAAGGUGUGUUUUCAUUCGUUACUAGCUGGAUUAUCUUCAGGCACUUUCAUCUGGGGCUCAGAAUGGGAACUUGGAGAAUUUUAGGUCACCUUGCCUCUUUCUUACUGUAUCCCCGUGUCUAAAGGGGCUGGAGGCUUUUUUUGGCCUGUUCAGUGCAUUACUGUAUACACACACCUCUUAGUUAUGUGAUACGUACCAAGAGCAAGUCAGGCCUUGGGACUUCAUCUGCAGACCUGGGACAGUGCAGGAAGGAGGUGCCGGUGAGGCUGAUUAAAAUUGCAUUGGUGCUGUACUUGGAAAUGAAGACCUUACACUUGAAUUUUCUUUCUUUCCAUCAGUGGCUGCAGCCAUACAGAUUCAGUCUUCUGUAGCUUCCCCGGAAAUAUGGUGAUGUAUAAGAGAUGUAGCGAUCUAAGGAGCAUCUGGUUUUCUACCGCAGUUAAUUUCAAAGCCUUUAGUUGUGGUUUAUGGUAAGAAAAGACACAUUCAAUUUUGUAGAUCAGUCUUUGAGCAAAAGCUCUGUUGCCUGCUGGGAGACUCACCGGAGACUAUGCUGCAGAGUUGUUCUUAGUUAUUCCAGACUUUCUCCCUGGUUUAAUUUCCAGAGCCUGUUGUAGACUCCCUGGGUUCCAUUUGAUUUACUUCUGACUGGGAUAUUUGUGUUGUAUCUGUAAUAUUGGCACUGAAAUAAAGACCAUGCGGUUUAAAGACA
This is a non-coding RNA of Meleagris gallopavo (turkey), 2003 nucleotides long. The record is from RefSeq and is a predicted model, not a curated record. NCBI's taxonomy places the organism in Eukaryota, Metazoa, Chordata, Aves, Galliformes, Phasianidae.